Daucus carota subsp. sativus is the source of this 519-nucleotide long non-coding RNA. RefSeq lists it as uncharacterized. The transcript has 3 exons. NCBI's taxonomy places the organism in Eukaryota, Viridiplantae, Streptophyta, Magnoliopsida, Apiales, Apiaceae. The record is from RefSeq and is a predicted model, not a curated record.
CGCCGCCGCUAUACCUCACAUACUUCAUAUUCUCUUCUUCAUAAACUUGAGAUGAUUAUUUCCGGGGUCAGCAUAAAGCAUUCAAGAGAUACUAAUGAUGAUGAAUUAGAUGAUGAAGAUGAUUAUAAACUCAAUCAACAGCGCACUUUCUGGUGGGGUUAUUCUUGGUACAUUAUAAAAGCACAGUUUGAUUCAUCUCAACCAAACUGAACGCCUUGGUCAAAAGAUGGGGCCGCUGGCUUUGGAGGAUGGAUCUGAUUCUCAGCCCAGUAAUGCUGAUAUUUCUAUGAAUCAAGAAGUACGGCUCUCAUUGCAGGAUUGGGAAAGAAAUGGCCGGGUAUGGCAAAUGCCAUGGCUGUUUGAAAAUAUGAGAUGAUUAUCAUAUUUUCUUUGUUUCGAAAGAUACAGCCAAUUUAGGGACAUUUGCAAAUUUGGCUUGAUUUACUUUACAUUUUGAAACCAGAGAUGGUGUAGUUUCUAUAAUGGUUAUGACAUUUUAAUUACCUCUCAUUAUUUCUA